CGAGCGGAACGAGUUAUCUGAACCUUCGGGGAACGAUAACGGCGUCGAGCGGCGGACGGGUGAGUAAUGCCUAGGAAAUUGCCCUGAUGUGGGGGAUAACCAUUGGAAACGAUGGCUAAUACCGCAUGAUGCCUACGGGCCAAAGAGGGGGACCUUCGGGCCUCUCGCGUCAGGAUAUGCCUAGGUGGGAUUAGCUAGUUGGUGAGGUAAGGGCUCACCAAGGCGACGAUCCCUAGCUGGUCUGAGAGGAUGAUCAGCCACACUGGAACUGAGACACGGUCCAGACUCCUACGGGAGGCAGCAGUGGGGAAUAUUGCACAAUGGGCGCAAGCCUGAUGCAGCCAUGCCGCGUGUGUGAAGAAGGCCUUCGGGUUGUAAAGCACUUUCAGUCGUGAGGAAGGUGGUGUAGUUAAUAGCUGCAUUAUUUGACGUUAGCGACAGAAGAAGCACCGGCUAACUCCGUGCCAGCAGC
Molecule: ribosomal RNA, 472 nt
Filed under: bacterium BCM24-2
Lineage: Bacteria
Description: bacterial SSU rRNA
Rfam family: Bacterial small subunit ribosomal RNA
Source: RNAcentral